GUUAUGAGUUACAGAGACCUGCAGGCAAAGCUGAAACUUUAAGCUGAUCCCCUGCCUCAGAAAGGGUAUAGAGUAACACAUCUUUGCUCAGCUUGAAGAAAGACAAGGCUGGAAGCAGGGGCCUUAUCAGGGGCCUAUCUUCCAAGCCUAGCCACCAUGUGAAAUACCUUGAGCCUGAUUGCAGGUUAAUGUAGUCACAGUCUGUUUAAGCUGACCUCAGACAGCUGUUGGAAGAAUGGCUACCUUGCUGUUCUGCUUUGUGCCUGCUGCCAUGUGGGCUGGUCCUGCUUGAUGAUGGAUCCAAAAAUUAGUCUGAAGUAGAAAAGGAUAAGAUUUUGGUUGGAUCUGUGUACCCUGAGGCUAUGGGGUUGUUGGGCCCAACUUGAGGGAGAAGGUACAAAUCUGUGAUCAGAGGAGCAGGAGAGGUGACUUGUCCUCUGGGCAGCUGCUUCUGGUCAAGUUGGUGUCAGCCAUUUGUGAGCACUGAAGAGAUCAUCUGCUCUGUGGAGAGGACAUCUGUCUGAGCCAUGAAGUGACACCUGGCAGCCUUAUUUUCUUUACUGUUCUGCUCUAUGGAGAAAGCAAUCGUUUGCGAAAGGAAACCUGUAUCAUCCACAGGCUGGGAUCACGCAUGCUGUUGGUAGUGGAGGGGCACUGCUCUGUGCAGGAGACAUAACCAGUGGCUUUGCCUUCCUGACCCCUCAUGUAGUGAACCUGCAUGCCUACUCUGCCUGAGCUGUGCAGUAUUUGGCUUCUCUGCUGGUAGCAAAACCUGUGCUUACCAGCACUUGUCAGUGCUAACAUCAGUCCCCUGCAGAGUAGAACUCUGUCCAUCCCCCUAGCCCUCCAUUUCUAAAGAUACAGUUUUCUUUGUAUUUCUCAUUUUCUUGUCCCUUUACUUUACACAUGGUGAUGCUAGAGCAAACUCAAUGAGG
Molecule: long non-coding RNA, 935 nt
Filed under: Numida meleagris (helmeted guineafowl)
Lineage: Eukaryota; Metazoa; Chordata; Aves; Galliformes; Numididae
Description: lncRNA (ENSNMEG00000009243.1)
Source: RNAcentral